This 253-nucleotide ribosomal RNA is filed under the name uncultured bacterium. RNAcentral's name for it is "partial 16S ribosomal RNA". It matches the Rfam family "Bacterial small subunit ribosomal RNA", at positions 524 to 776 of the family's 1533-position model. The record is from RNAcentral.
CACGUAGGGCGCAAGCGUUGUCCGGAAUUAUUGGGCGUAAAGAGCGCGCAGGCGGUCGUUCAAGUCGCGUGUGAAAGCCCCCGGCUCAACUGGGGAGGGUCACGCGAUACUGAUCGACUCGAAGGCAGGAGAGGGUAGUGGAAUUCCCGGUGUAGUGGUGAAAUGCGUAGAUAUCGGGAGGAACACCAGUGGCGAAGGCGACUACCUGGCCUGUUCUUGACGCUGAGGCGCGAAAGCUAGGGGAGCAAACGGG